This is a long non-coding RNA of Lucilia sericata (common green bottle fly), 1297 nucleotides long. RefSeq lists it as uncharacterized. The transcript has 3 exons. NCBI's taxonomy places the organism in Eukaryota, Metazoa, Arthropoda, Insecta, Diptera, Calliphoridae. The record is from RefSeq and is a predicted model, not a curated record.
AAUACCUAGAAGAAAUCUCUAAACAGAACAUAACAACAACAGCUGCUGCUUAAAUAUGUGCUCUUUCUCUCUCUCUCUUUUUAAUAAACUAAAGCUCUUUAACCGAUAUAUAUUUUGUAAACCAAAGUUAAAUAAAUUGUCCGUUAUUUUUUGAAAAAUAUGAAGUUAAACAGAAGCACUGCGUUUAAGUAAAGUAAUAAAAUUAAACAAAAAAAUAAAAUAAUUUAAUAAAUAAAGCCUUUAAAACAAAAUUUAGAUGAAAUUUAUGAAAAUCAUUUAAACAAAAAUAAUUUAAAUUAAAUAUAACAAACAAAAUAUUAAGAAAAUCUUAACAAAAACAACGUUAAAGUAAAUUUUAGAAGAAAACCAAAACCCUUAAUAAAAUAAAUUUAUUAAAACAGACAAACAUUUUUAGUAAAAAAUAACAAAGCAUUACUUAGGCUGUUAACAAAAAUUUGAAAAAAAAAACAACAUUAAAAAUUUCGAUGAAUUGUAUUAUGAAAAACAAAAUAUUUAACAAAAAACCUAGUUAAGUUAAAUUAAAAAAAUUUGUUUGUUUACUUUCCUGAAAACAGCUGCUAAUCUGUUAAUUACUCUAAAAUAGUUAUGGUUUUUAUUUUGUUAUUAAUUUUUCUUACUAAACUAUUAAACUUUUAUUAAAUUAUAUAACUCUUUUCUCUCUCUCUCUUCUUUUGAUUUUGUACUCUGAGAUAUGAAAUUUUGUUAACAAACUUAAUCUUUGGUAUUGAUGAUUUUAAUAAAAAUUUGUUUCAGAAUAAACUUCAUCAAAACUUCAAUAGGAUCUGUCAAAAGACUACAUAAAUUACACAGGCCAACGAAAUGAAGCUGAGUUUUUUACAGUGUACCAACAUACAUAUUUUUCAGUCUCUGUAAAUUAACUACAACUCUCUAAAAUCUCAGUAUUAAAUAAGCUUUUUUAUUAUUUCUUAAUUUUCUCUAAAACUUUAUAAAAUAUUAAUCUACUAGUUAUUUUCAUAUCAAUAAAUGUACAAAUUAUUAUAAAUUUAUAUAAUAAAAAAUAUAAUUAGGCAAAUUUAUUUGUUAUUAAUGGUAAUAAACCAGAUGCAGCAGCUUUUUAGGUUGUCUAAUUUUUCUCUCCUUUUUGUUGUUAUUUUAUUACAAAAAAAUUUUAGUUAAAUAAAAUUUUGUUAAAUAAGACUUUGGUUGUUAAUUUAUAUAUAGUACAAUUUUUGUUGUUAAAUAUUUGUAAAAUAAUAAAAAAAAUAGCUAAAGCCAUAAAGUUAUAAAAAAAAAAACAAACGCUGAAAAAGACGAU